GUGUUCAAUGAUGACUUUUAUUUGUAUGCCUGAUUUCCUUUCGGAUAAUGAAGGCAUCUUUAGUCACUGCCUCUUCUGAGACAC
Physeter macrocephalus (sperm whale) is the source of this 84-nucleotide small nucleolar RNA. Ensembl annotates it as small nucleolar RNA, C/D box 11. The record is from Ensembl. NCBI's taxonomy places the organism in Eukaryota, Metazoa, Chordata, Mammalia, Artiodactyla, Physeteridae.